This 531-nucleotide ribosomal RNA is filed under the name uncultured bacterium. RNAcentral describes it as "bacterial SSU rRNA". It matches the Rfam family "Bacterial small subunit ribosomal RNA", at positions 791 to 1319 of the family's 1533-position model. The record is from RNAcentral.
UAGUCCACGCCGUAAACUUUGGGUGCUCGACGUAGCGGGUAUUGACCCCUGCUGUGUCCAAGCUAACGCAAGAAGCACCCCGCCUGGGGAGUACGGUCGCAAGACUAAAACUCAAAAGGAAUUGACGGGGGGCCCGCACAAGCGGUGGAGCAUGUGGUUUAAUUCGAAGCGACGCGCAGAACCUUACCUGGGUUUGACAUCUACGGAACCUCUUGGAAACUUGAGGGUGCCUUCGGGAGCCGUAAGACAGGUGCUGCAUGGCUGUCGUCAGCUCGUGCCGUGAGGUGUUGGGUUAAGUUCCGCAACGAGCGCAACCCCUACCAUUAGUUGCCAGCAGUUCGGCUGGGCACUCUAGUGGGACUGCCGGUGUUAAACCGGAGGAAGGUGGGGAUGACGUCAAGUCCUCAUGGCCUUUAUAUCCAGGGCUACUCACGUGCUACAAUGGUCGGUACAGAGGGUCGCCAACCCGCGAGGGGGAGCCAAUCCCAAAAAGCCGGCCUCAGUUCGGAUUGGAGUCUGCAAUUCGACUCC